This 831-nucleotide ribosomal RNA is filed under the name bacterium RSB-3-22. Its description in RNAcentral is "bacterial SSU rRNA". It matches the Rfam family "Bacterial small subunit ribosomal RNA", at positions 46 to 887 of the family's 1533-position model. The record is from RNAcentral.
GCUUAACACAUGCAAGUCGAACGAUGAUCCCCAGCUUGCUGGGGGGAUUAGUGGCGAACGGGUGAGUAACACGUGAGUAACCUGCCCUUGACUCUGGGAUAAGCCUGGGAAACUGGGUCUAAUACCGGAUACGACCAUCUGGCGCAUGUCAUGGUGGUGGAAAGCUUUUGUGGUUUUGGAUGGACUCGCGGCCUAUCAGCUUGUUGGUGGGGUAAUGGCCUACCAAGGCGACGACGGGUAGCCGGCCUGAGAGGGUGACCGGCCACACUGGGACUGAGACACGGCCCAGACUCCUACGGGAGGCAGCAGUGGGGAAUAUUGCACAAUGGGCGCAAGCCUGAUGCAGCGACGCCGCGUGAGGGAUGACGGCCUUCGGGUUGUAAACCUCUUUCAGUAGGGAAGAAGCGAAAGUGACGGUACCUGCAGAAGAAGCGCCGGCUAACUACGUGCCAGCAGCCGCGGUAAUACGUAGGGCGCAAGCGUUAUCCGGAAUUAUUGGGCGUAAAGAGCUCGUAGGCGGUUUGUCGCGUCUGCUGUGAAAGACCGGGGCUCAACUCCGGUUCUGCAGUGGGUACGGGCAGACUAGAGUGCAGUAGGGGAGACUGGAAUUCCUGGUGUAGCGGUGAAAUGCGCAGAUAUCAGGAGGAACACCGAUGGCGAAGGCAGGUCUCUGGGCUGUAACUGACGCUGAGGAGCGAAAGCAUGGGGAGCGAACAGGAUUAGAUACCCUGGUAGUCCAUGCCGUAAACGUUGGGCACUAGGUGUGGGGGACAUUCCACGUUUUCCGCGCCGUAGCUAACGCAUUAAGUGCCCCGCCUGGGGAGUACGGCC